Molecule: long non-coding RNA, 1230 nt
Filed under: Bos indicus x Bos taurus (hybrid cattle)
Lineage: Eukaryota; Metazoa; Chordata; Mammalia; Artiodactyla; Bovidae
Description: lncRNA (ENSBIXG00000006162.1)
Source: RNAcentral
AUGGAUAUAAAAAAAAGUUUCCCCGAGUUCCCCUCCGCUUCCCGUUCCCACCGGCGGAGGGACAGAGGAGAAGGAACUGCCCGGGCGAGCAGCCGCGGCCCUCCGGCCGACCGGCCCGUGCUUGGUCCGGAUGUGCCUGGCCCCCGGCCCGCCGAGCCCAUGCGCCUCUCCACCACUGUCAACCUUCCCCUACGAUCUAGCCGGACGGUUAGCGCAGGAAUGAGGAAGUCCGAGCGGGGCUGGAGGGUGCGGGGCGGGCGGGUGGCGGGAGCCGGGCCGGCGCGGCCCCCACUUGCCCGAGUUUGGCUUACCCUGCUGGCAGGUCCGCGCUCGGCCUCCCUGCGCCUGUGGCUCCCGCUCCGGGGCGGCGCGGGCCUGGGGGCCGGGGAAGGGAGAGGCAGCGGUCGGCCGGAGCCGGAGCGGGUCCGGGUGCGGGGUGGGCCGGCUUGGGUCCGGGCCGGCAGGCAGGCGCGCGGUCUCGCCGGGCCAGUCAGCGCCGCGCCAUGUCCGCAGCGCGGGAGGAGGGAACGCCGGGCGCGGGGUUGCGGGGCCGCGGCGUCGCCGCCUUCCCGGCCGCGGCUGCUCCGGCCUGGGCUGCGCUGGGCUCUUGGGGCCGGGCCGGCGACUGGGCGCAGGCCGAGGGCGGCGGCGGCGGCGGCGAGGCCCGACCGACGGGAAGGGCAGGGGAAGCUGUCAGCGCGUCGCCGGGCCGCUCCGGUGGCGAAACCUCCUCUUCCUGCCCCGGCUCGCUGGUGCACUUCUCUCUCUUUCUCUCUCGCUCACUCUCUCACUUCCUGGCUGGAAAUUCCCACUGACGUCGAGAGAAGACAGACAGACGGACACACGCGCGCAAGGCGCGGGGGCGGGAGGUGGGGUCGCCGCCGGGGGUGGGGAAAGCCCGCACUCCUGUGGGGCCGCGCGACCCCGGCCCGGCCCCGCCUGCCGGCUCGGCGAGCGCCCCCUGAGCCGCUGUGGGGCGCAGGCGAGGGGCGAGCGCUCGGCGGGCAGGAUGCCGGGGUCCCUCGCCGGCGCUCCCGGAGCCCUGAGGGCAGAAGCGGACGGGGACGCCUCCUGCAAGCGCCUGAGGGGCCAAGUCUUCCUGAGAAGAGGGAGGCGCGGAGGCGGCGGCCGUGCGGCUGUCCAGAGUUGAGCGGUCCAGAGCCCCUAAGGACAGGCCCGAGCAUCUGGAGGGAUGAUGGGUCGGCAUGGGGCCAAGCAUGCUGUGUAUAA